RNAcentral lists this ribosomal RNA (258 nucleotides) under Clostridioides difficile. RNAcentral's name for it is "partial 23S ribosomal RNA". It matches the Rfam family "Bacterial large subunit ribosomal RNA", at positions 401 to 660 of the family's 2925-position model. Lineage: Bacteria; Bacillati; Bacillota; Clostridia; Peptostreptococcales; Peptostreptococcaceae. The record is from RNAcentral.
UAUGAUCCAGAGUACCACGGGACACGUGAAACCCUGUGGGAAGCAGGAGGGACCACCCUCCAAGGCUAAAUACUACCUAGUGACCGAUAGCGUAUAGUACCGUGAGGGAAAGGUGAAAAGAACCCCGGGAGGGGAGUGAAAUAGAACCUGAAACCCUGCACUUACAAGCUGUGGAAGCACAUUUCUUGUGUGACCGCGUACUUUUUGUAGAACGGGCCAACGAGUUACGUUAAGUAGCAAGGUUAAGCACUUAAGGUG